Molecule: ribosomal RNA, 485 nt
Filed under: uncultured Bacteroidota bacterium
Lineage: Bacteria; Pseudomonadati; Bacteroidota
Description: bacterial SSU rRNA
Rfam family: Bacterial small subunit ribosomal RNA
Source: RNAcentral
CAGGCCUAACACAUGCAAGUCGAACGGGUGGUAGCAAUACCACUAGUGGCGCACGGGUGCGUAACGCGUAACCAACCUGCCCUGAACUGGGGGAUAGCCCGCCGAAAGGCAUUAAUACCGCAUAAACCAACAGUACGGCAUCGUAUAAUUGGUAAAGAUUUAUUGGUUCAGGAUGGGGUUGCGUGACAUUAGCUAGUUGGCGGGGUAACGGCCCACCAAGGCGACGAUGUCUAGGGGACCUGAGAGGGUGAUCCCCCACACUGGCACUGAGAUACGGGCCAGACUCCUACGGGAGGCAGCAGUAGGGAAUAUUGGGCAAUGGGCGAGAGCCUGACCCAGCCAUGCCGCGUGCCGGAUGAAGGCCUUCUGGGUUGUAAACGGCUUUUCUCAGGGAAGAAAAAGACCAUGCGUGGUACCUGACGGUACCUGAGGAAUAAGCACCGGCUAACUCCGUGCCAGCAGCCGCGGUAAUAAGGAGGGUGCAA